UUCCCGGUGGUCUAGUGAUUAGGACUCUGGACUUUCACUCCAGGUGGCUCAGGUUUGAUACUUGGUCAGGGAA
RNAcentral lists this transfer RNA (73 nucleotides) under Ovis aries (sheep). It matches the Rfam family "tRNA". From Rfam's summary of the family: Transfer RNA (tRNA) molecules are approximately 80 nucleotides in length. Their secondary structure includes four short double-helical elements and three loops (D, anti-codon, and T loops). Further hydrogen bonds mediate the characteristic L-shaped molecular structure. tRNAs have two regions of fundamental functional importance: the anti-codon, which is responsible for specific mRNA codon recognition, and the 3' end, to which the tRNAs corresponding amino acid is attached (by aminoacyl-tRNA synthetases). tRNAs cope with the degeneracy of the genetic code in two manners: having more than one tRNA (with a specific anti-codon) for a particular amino acid; and 'wobble' base-pairing, i.e. permitting non-standard base-pairing at the 3rd anti-codon position. The record is from Rfam by way of RNAcentral. Lineage: Eukaryota; Metazoa; Chordata; Mammalia; Artiodactyla; Bovidae.